CAACUUGCAAAGUAGAUAUUUCAUUUAAGGGAGGAAACACUACGAAUAUGCAAAAGCAUUUGCUCACAAAACACGCGAUGACACGCGUUUUUAAUUCCGCUCCGGACUCGUGACUCUCAACCCAGCAGCAGCGCUAACGUUUGCACGUCCUCUCCCGUUAAUGCGGCAGGUGACCAUGAUGAGAGAGACAGACAGAGUCUGGCUGGCGCUCGCUGGUAGUUCUCGCUGCAGUCUACCGGUAGCGUCUCCUUUCAGGCCAGGAUAGACUAAUGUCACCGAGCAGUGUCUAAGUUUGUGGUCAAAGGCUUGCACCCAUUUGCCACAGCAGAUGCCCCCGAUUUUUGUUUCACAGGGAUCCUACCCUCACUAAGUAUAUCCUCAAAAGCAGCUGAUACAACAGUCCCUGUGUCAUGGUCCCUGUGCCUCCCCGGCCAGCCCAGUGUGGCCACAAGUGUUUGUUGUUUUUCUCUCACUCUGUCUCUCCUACCUGUCUGCCUGGGCGGAGCUCUGAUUGGGCUCCUGCCCUUGGCCCACGCACCUGCAGCUGAUCUCGAGCGGAUUGCAGUUCUCUGGCUCUUAAGGCUGGGGCUCUGAGCUGUUCGUCGCUGGAAUAUUGAGUAACUCUCGUUUACCUGGAUCAGCCCUUUUGUGACCCCUGGACCCCGUGAGUAGGAGAGUGAGCUGAGCUGCUUGUGUGGAGACUGUUUGGACGAGGAGCAGAGCGAGUGCGAAGAAGUGUGUCUCCCCAGCCAAGUGAUCCCCGGGACCCUGGUGUUUCCCCCCCCUUCACGUGUAUAUAGUGCACCAGUGUGAUUAAUAAAGUGUUGUUGAACUGUGCUACCUCAGUCUGCGCCUGAGUCCGUUCCACUCCCGUGACACCCUGUCUUGUUUGUUAGACAUCUAACCCAUGCGUAUUUUGAGAAUACAUCUAUACAUGUUAGCAGAUAUCUCACAUUAUCAUUAUCUGCCACAUAUUCACACA
Astatotilapia calliptera (eastern happy) is the source of this 982-nucleotide long non-coding RNA. Lineage: Eukaryota; Metazoa; Chordata; Actinopteri; Cichliformes; Cichlidae. The record is from Ensembl.